UACGUAGGGGGCAAGCGUUGUCCGGAAUCAUUGGGCGUAAAGCGCGUGUAGGCGGCCUUGUAAGUCCGUUCUGAAAGCCCGGGGCUCAACCCCGGGAGGCGGAUGGAUACUGCAAGGCUCGAGUACGGAAGAGGCGAGUGGAAUUCCCGGUGUAGCGGUGAAAUGCGCAGAUAUCGGGAGGAGCACCAAUGGCGAAGGCAGCUCGCUGGGACGUUACUGACGCUGAGACGCGAAAGCGUGGGGAGCAAACAGG
RNAcentral lists this ribosomal RNA (253 nucleotides) under uncultured bacterium. RNAcentral describes it as "partial 16S ribosomal RNA". It matches the Rfam family "Bacterial small subunit ribosomal RNA", at positions 524 to 776 of the family's 1533-position model. The record is from RNAcentral.